RNAcentral lists this long non-coding RNA (493 nucleotides) under Olea europaea (common olive). RNAcentral's name for it is "long non-coding RNA (OEUR_LNC000590)". Lineage: Eukaryota; Viridiplantae; Streptophyta; Magnoliopsida; Lamiales; Oleaceae. The record is from RNAcentral.
CCCUCGCCCCCUCCCCAAGUGCAUUAAUAAUGACUCCAACUGGUGAAACCGAUGCAGACGAAGAGAUGGAAGAAGCAACUUCAUGGUUACUGCUAAACCCUGUCAAGAAUAGUGAAAAUCAAGUGAACAAUGAAGUUGAUGCUUAUUUAGACCUGAAUGAGUACAAUUCAUGUCAAGAAAUUCACUUCACUGAUGAUCAGUACAACAAUCAGAAGCAACGUUAUAAUGUUCCUGAUGAUGAUAAAAAAAUGUACGGUAGUGAUAGUGUUGUGCCAGUUCAGUAUGGAUCAAAGGGUAAAGAAGAGGUUGAUCUAAACAGUUUUCAGUUAGGGAUCGAGUUUGAUAUCUCCAAUGAUGGCUACGGUUAUCCAGUUAUGGAUAUUGGAGUUGUACCAGAAUCAAGAUUGAGUGAAGUUUCUUCAUCAGUCUCCCAGCAAAGACCCUCUAAAGACACAGUUGAUCUUUUCUCAAAUUCACCUAUCCAGAUGCCAAC